UACGUAGGGGGCAAGCGUUGUCCGGAAUCAUUGGGCGUAAAGCGCACGUAGGCGGCCGACUAAGUCGGGUGUGAAAGCCCUGGGCUCAACCCAGGAAGUGCACUCGAAACUGAUCGGCUUGAAUAUGGAAGAGGGUUGCGGAAUUCCCGGUGUGAGAGGUGAAAUUCGUAGAUAUCGGGAGGAACACCUGUGGCGAAAGCGGCUCACUGGACCACAACUGACGCUGAGGCGCGAAAGCUAGGGGAGCAAACAGG
RNAcentral lists this ribosomal RNA (254 nucleotides) under uncultured bacterium. RNAcentral describes it as "partial 16S ribosomal RNA". It matches the Rfam family "Bacterial small subunit ribosomal RNA", at positions 524 to 776 of the family's 1533-position model. The record is from RNAcentral.